Bombus pascuorum is the source of this 4496-nucleotide long non-coding RNA. RefSeq lists it as uncharacterized. The record is from RefSeq and is a predicted model, not a curated record. Lineage: Eukaryota; Metazoa; Arthropoda; Insecta; Hymenoptera; Apidae. The transcript is spliced from 2 exons.
CAGCAGACGUAACUAAAGAAGUCAUUGAGAAUAUUAGCAGCAGAAUUCCGAGAUUCAGCCGAGCAUUCAAUGGACGCAAAAGUGUGAUUUCAAGAAGCGGAUACAGUUUUCACGAAGAAGAAGAAGAAAGAAUAUCUAUGCGUGUUACAAUGAUGUGUUCCCAGACCCAGGCAGGACUAAUUGCCAUAGAACGAGCAGUCGCUUCUGCGACGGUGUGAUUCGAAGUCUAGGAGAAUGCGAAGCAGACCGGAAGUCCGCGAAAAAGCAAACCGUUAUUUCAAAGGAACGUUCUACCCUCUUUCCUCGGCUUGUUUACCUACCAACGCAUUAAAGGGAACACGAACCCAGCGAAAACCUAGCAAAUUUCACGAAUUCGUUGCAAGCAUCUGAAAAUGCAUACUCCUGGUCCCAUGCGCGGAAUUUGAGUUUUGCAACGAAACAAACGUUCUUUAGCUCGAGUUUCCGGCCGUAGGUAAGAGCGUAACUGUAUAGGGAAAGUUUUUAACAACACCACACGGAAACUCGAGUCAGAAGGGUGCUCGUGUUUUCAACUGCUCGUUCUGAACGAGCGCCGGCGUGUGCCACAGGGCCGUCCCAAGGAAACGAGCAACUAGUCGAAACGAUCAACUAGUAUAACAAGUAUUUUCUCUUAAGAAACGAUCACGAGCACCGUUCCAAUCGGGUUAAUCGUUACGACAUUAAAUCUUUGUUACAAACUCCAAGAGAUUUCGUCGAAAUACCAUUAAAAUGGAUGUCACGCGAUCGCUAGAUAAACGUUAGAUGCCGUAAGUCUCGUACUAAGCCGUAGAUUCUUUCACUUUUUUGGCUCUUUUAUUGUACAGAAUUGGUACUCUAUCGCGAACGGAUACGACUUAUACCCGAUGGAUCAUAAAGCCACGAUAUUAUACUUUGUCAAGUACCAACGAGGAUACAAAUUGAACGGAAUUGGUGUACAAGAAAGGAAACAGUUCGUAGAGACACCCUACGGGUAGGUGAAAUUAAAAGAGCGGAAAGAAGAGACGCUGGAAAAAGUUCAGCGUGGUUUGUCACGAAACAGGCUAGUUAAGAGCUUCUGUACCGUUAGUCGGAAACUCCGAUUGUUUGUUUUCAAUUUUAUUACACCUCGUUCGUUAUCUUUCCCCAUUGUUCUGCCAGUUUCUCGGCGGUUGGUGCUCGUAGAGGCCGGAGAACGAGCAUCCUCGUACGAGCGAACAUGCGUGGCUGCGAGCCUGUUCCACGAACGAUUUACUUGCAAACGAGUCGAGAUGCAGUGAAAUUGAUUUGACGGUGAACCUGCGCCGAGCCACUUCCAAAUGUACCGUGACGCUUUAACAAGGUAACUACAUGGUUCUGGAGUUAGCUCGUGAAGAUGGCUAUACCUGCUUGAUAGGUCGAUGCUUUCUUCCCUAGGAUUCAGGCGAUUGGAUUUUAUGGAUUUCCUGUUAUUUCUCGUUUUGAGUUUCAUCGAUGUUCAGGAUCAUAGUCGUCGUUAACUAGGUCGACGCGUAGGCUUCAGGUAUAUGAAACUGAAGUUUAGGGAAAGUAAAUUCCACCUCGUGCCAAUUUGAGAAAUUCCAGCGUUUCAUUCCAGCUGUCCUAGUUAUGAAUUUAUAUGUUUGAAGCUACGUAUUUCUUUAGACCUCUAUUUCGUUAGAAAACGUUACUCGUUCAAUAAAUUUUGAAAGAAUUAAUUAAUUUGUAUCGAGACGGGAAAAAGAGAAGCAUUGUAGUUAUAUGAAAGAUUUUGUAAUAGUUCCAUAUUAUGGUUUAUUUAAUUAAAAGAAAAUUGUUAAAUUAUAUUUAUUGUUAACAAGUCGGAGUUAAUCGGAGGAGACGACUCAAUCUGUUACUCAUUUGAUCUUUUUAUCGCAUUUAUAUAUGCAAGGAUAAUACCUAAUCGAGAUUCAUGUUUUCACUAAUUUCUAACUUCGUAAUUGUAAAAGUCUUCGAUUAAGACACAAUCGUGAAACUCGAUGGAUGCACUGCAUUAUUUUUAAAUUUAAAAAGGCGAAGAUAGAAAUUCUUUUAAAUGGGGCUGCGAAGUGGCACUUAAUUAUCGCACGGUGUCUCCGGAGAAUCACCUUUUUUCCUUCCGUGAUUAUUCUACGCCAAUUCAAUUGUGCACGGUCUACGCGAAUUCUACGACAGGGAAAAUUUCGUGGCUACGUGCUUGGAUCGUCGGUUUUUCCUUCGUUCUCAUAAUACUCGUACGGCCACCGUGCGUGCAUGAAGUGCGUGCACUCUCACCUGUCGGUGUCGAAUAACGAUUUGAAACGGGAGAUCGGGUACGCUCGUUUCUCGAGACGCGGUUUACCGCUUAAGGGACCAUUGUAAAAUAAAAUAUUAAUUUUUCUUGGUGGCAAUAUCGAUCCGGCUCGUGACUGUUUCCUUAUUUCCCACGAUUUCAGUCGAUGGCGUCGAUAGAUGAGUAGAUCGCGUGCGAAAGAAUUUUAGAUCAUUCACAGUUUCCACAGAGGAACAUAUUUCUCUCUCUCUCUUUGCUAUUAUUAUCACAUUGAUUAUUUCCUUUUAUUUCAGCGAUUGAUUGAUUUACCUAUGAUCAAGUACUAAUGCUACGUUAGAAUCUAAGAAACAUCAGGUGUCGUCUAGCAUCUUCUUCUAGAUGAUAUUUCACGCCAUCGUCAUCGUUCUAUAUCUCAAAUUCAACGCUAUCCCACUCGCCUUAAUAAGCCCCAUUAUUUAAUUAAACUAGCGUUUAAUCGUUAUCGUCGUCGAAGCUGCCGUAAGAUUUUAAGCUUCGAUUGGUCGAGGCACACGUCAUGCGACGAAUCGACCGAGUCGAUAAGAUAAAACGUUUGGCAAACACUCGAACUUAGUCGCAUCGUGGCAGCCUUGAUACAUUUCGAAAGGUGCACGAACCGCAAACUUCUUGUUACUCAAUAUCGCUUUAAUUGCUGAAGCUUAAGCAAGAACCUAAUGGAAGAGCAUCGAAUAAGAACCUCGAACAAGAACUUUGGAAAUCAGAGGCAAAUGCAAUCGAACAAGAGUCACGCUUCGAUCCAAUUAGCUCUUUCCAUGAUGAAGCGAUAUUCUGACCGUAAUAGGCCCGGAGAAAUUACACAACGCUUUUACGCCGAUCGCCACGGGUUUCCUUUGCUCUCGUCCGCGUUAAUGCUUAUGGACGUAUCCGGCUUUGCUGUUACCUGAUCGCCAUUGGUACGUGAAAACCGCAAGGAUCUCAAAGUCGAACUUUUUCAUUGACUAAAGUUCGUUGUUAGAAGCGAAAAUUAUUCCUUAUAGUAUUCAAUGAAUAGAGUCUAAAAAUAGCAACUUUGAAAACUUUCCAAAUGCAACUAUAACGUAAGCUCGCUUGAUUAAAAGCUGAACAGUCAGUGAUCUAACAUCUUGCGAAUGUAGAGUUGUGUGCAGAGUUCAGUGUAACUCUUGAACGAAGAGUAGCUUUUAAAUUUGAAGUUUUCAAAAUUCAAAAUUGACAUUUAUUGGCUAUACUAGAAAACAUUUCUAGCAGCGUAAAACGAACUUUAGCCUUUUACUAGACGCAAGACUCAUAUACAUUUGUAAGAAACAUAUAUCUAAUUGGUUAGGUUAUUCGAUUGACAAACUCUGUAAAAGGUUUCGUAGAAUAUAACUGGUUACACCAGUACGUAAACUACAUAUAUAAAAUUGUAUAUAAAUUGACAAAUCAUACGUCGAAUCUAUAAAUAAUUUUAAUAUACAUAUACAUUUAAUAUACAUAUCUACAUUCUGCACAUUCCGUUUCGACAUAACAGGUCAAAACAGGUGAUCAUAGAGGUGAAAGGAAUACAAUAAAUUCUUAAAACAACAUAUAUGUACACACCAUGGUCUACUUUUUUUAUAUUGUAUAUUUAUAAUUUUUAAAACGAAUAAAUAGUAUACUUAGUAUCAUUAUAUACGUGGUAUAUUUAAAACCUUCAAAAUGGUAUAUUUACCUACCUAUACCAUAAUCUAGUUCUUAUUGUUACAUUAAUCCACCGUCUGGAGCAGAUCGCGCAAUAUGCGGAUGGACUUUGGUUGUUGCAAUAGUAUACGAUCAUUGCCUGGCUCGUCACGGGCCAUUGCCUCCCUAUUACGAGCCUCCCUACUUCUCCUCCUUUUCCUUCUCUGAGAAGGUUCACCUCGCAUAAUCGUUUUCUUCUGAGGGAAAGUGAACGAGGAACGGUGCGGCGCAACGCCAAAAGCCGAGCCGAGGCGAGCGCAAUGCGUCACCGCGAAGUGCAAUGCCAAUUAAAACGGCCAUUAUCGCGAUCUUUUCGUUUCUUUUUUAUUCCCGAACAUUCGCUACACCCGCCAAUCAUGAAACACGUGCACCAUUUCUUUUGAUAAACUGUGACUUAUACCUGUGGCAUGCGCCAGGAAACCCGUUAGAUAAUACUUAUUCGAUUAGCUGCGCACAAGUCAAGACUUGUUUAUCGCCAAUCGUUUAUUUAUAAAAGCAAUUUAUGGAAAAGUGUAAUAAAUGUAUCGAGUGAAAAAGUGGUGUAAGUGACAAGAUA